RNAcentral lists this ribosomal RNA (219 nucleotides) under uncultured bacterium. RNAcentral's name for it is "partial 16S ribosomal RNA". It matches the Rfam family "Bacterial small subunit ribosomal RNA", at positions 524 to 743 of the family's 1533-position model. The record is from RNAcentral.
UACGUAGGGUGCGAGCGUUGUCCGGAAUUAUUGGGCGUAAAGGGCUCGUAGGCGGUCUGUUGCGUCAGGAGUGAAAACUCGGGGCUUAACCCCGAGCCUGCUUCUGAUACGGGCAGACUAGAGGUAUGCAGGGGAGAACGGAAUUCCUGGUGUAGCGGUGAAAUGCGCAGAUAUCAGGAGGAACACCGGUGGCGAAGGCGGGUCGCUGGGCCUAACUGA